AUUUUGAAAAUACGCAUUUUUGGCGUUAUUUUUUCCAUUUCGUUUGUUCUCCUCAGUCGAAAAUAAAAUAUAUCAUAAGGUUCGUUUUCGUUUCGCGAAAUUUUCGUUUUAAA
Long non-coding RNA from Rhagoletis zephyria (snowberry fruit fly), 113 nucleotides. RefSeq lists it as uncharacterized. NCBI's taxonomy places the organism in Eukaryota, Metazoa, Arthropoda, Insecta, Diptera, Tephritidae. The record is from RefSeq and is a predicted model, not a curated record.